UACGUAGGAGGCUAGCGUUAUCCGGAUUCACUGGGCGUAAAGUGAGCGUAGGUGGUGCACUAAGUCAGAUGUAAAAUAUCUCGGCUUAACUGAGAGGGACCAUCUGAUACUAGCGUACUUGAGGACAGCAGAGGGAGGUGGAAUUCCCGGUGUAGUGGUGAAAUGCGUAGAUAUCGGGAGGAACACCAGUGGCGAAAGCGGCCUCCUGGGCUGCACCUGACACUGAGGCUCGAAAGCGUGGGGAG
RNAcentral lists this ribosomal RNA (245 nucleotides) under uncultured bacterium. RNAcentral's name for it is "partial 16S ribosomal RNA". It matches the Rfam family "Bacterial small subunit ribosomal RNA", at positions 524 to 768 of the family's 1533-position model. The record is from RNAcentral.